Molecule: unclassified non-coding RNA, 250 nt
Filed under: plant metagenome
Description: partial contains small subunit ribosomal RNA, internal transcribed spacer 1, and 5.8S ribosomal RNA
Source: RNAcentral
GUAGGUGAACCUGCAGAAGGAUCAUUACAUUCAGUAGCUUGCUACUAUUAGAGAGGUCUAUAAGUCUGUAUAGUAUCACUACUAAUAAGCAGUAUAACCCUCUGUCUAUACUCUUGUCUUUUGCGCACUCAUGUUUCCUCGGCAGCUUGAUACCCGCCGGUUAGAUCAUUCUAUAACCUCUUUAAUUUUCAAUCAGCGUCUGAAAAACCCAAUAAUUACAACUUUCAACAAUAGAUCUCUUGGUUCUGGC